Molecule: small nuclear RNA, 295 nt
Filed under: Mustela putorius furo (domestic ferret)
Lineage: Eukaryota; Metazoa; Chordata; Mammalia; Carnivora; Mustelidae
Description: 7SK RNA
Rfam family: 7SK RNA
About the family: 7SK was discovered as an abundant small nuclear RNA in the mid-70s but a possible function has only recently been suggested. Two independent studies have found that 7SK RNA binds the CDK9/cyclin T complex (known as elongation factor P-TEFb).
Source: Rfam by way of RNAcentral
GGAUGCUGAGAGCAGUCUGGUUGUGACAUCUGUUACCUGUUGGUCUUGAGGACUGAUUUCACUGGCUAUGCAGGUGGCCUCUUCUCAUGACUACAUGUUCAUCUUUCCUGAAAUUUUGCCCUUAGCUGAUGGAGAUGACCUAUUUAGAUAAUAGAAGGCCAUUCUUUAUUCAAGGUAUCUGAAAUAUAAUCUUAUCCACCAAGAUACAUAAUUGUAUAGUUUUCUGAGAGGUGGUCUAUUUUAGACAGUCUUGGUUUUGUAUGAAAUUAAGCCUCUUUGACAGACUGGGCAGGUU